GGGCUCCCCCCGUGGCCGUCGCCAGUACUGCAGCGUCAGUCUCCGGGGCAGGUGAGCGACCAGCUGGUGGAGAUCAAUGGGGAGCCCACGCUGGGCAUGACGCACGCCCGGGCCGUGGAGCAGAUCCGCCGGGGGGGCAGCCGCAUCCGCCUGGUGCUCAGGAAAGGCGACGGCUUCGUCCCUGACUUCGACCGUGAGCACAUCCCCAGCCCCGCCGGGCGGGACCGGAUGCCAGAGGGUGGAUCGGCACCACACGGCUGGAGAGCAGACACGGACGAGAGGUCUCCAUGCUGGGGACGGGACGCCAGGUCCUGCCUGGAGGCUUCUCCCAGCAGCGCUGAGCGAGGAUCCCACCGCUGCCACCAACGCGGGUCCCGGGACCAUCGGGGCGCAGAGCAGGGCUGGCCAGCAUCGGGGAAGGAGGCAGAGGCGGAGGCCAGGAAGGGAGAGAGCGGGUCCCUCUCCCCCCAGAGGGAGCAGGUCUGGAGGGGCCUCUCGGAACCAGCCCCUGGGCCCUGGCUGGUGCCCAGCAAGGAGCGCCUCUCACGGGCCCUGAGGGGCGUCUGCAUGGGGGAGGCAGAGGACGACGAAGGGGGCAGCCUGGGGCAGGGCAAAGGCGGAGAGGUGAGAAGGAGGACCUAGUCCAGCCCCGCCCAGCGCAGGAUGUUCUCAGUGCCUGGGAGAGUCCACCCACCCCUCAUCUGGAUGUGCAAUGGUACCUUCCAUUCUCCUCACCACCCCUUCAACCAGGGCCCAGCUAUGUAGUGGUACUCUCCACUCUUGUUCCCCUUCCCAUUUUGACUAAUGGUACUGUCUAAUCUACUCAGCGUGGUACCUGCCAUUUCUUCCCCCCUCCCCCCAUCAGCUAUGCAGUGGUAUAAUCCUCUCCUGUCCCCUACCCUCUGGGUUGUGAAAUGGUACCUUCCAUUCGUCUUGUGUGUGUCUCCCCCCCCCUGCCAUUCAAUGAAUGGUACUUUCCUCUCUCCCCUCCCCCAUUCACAAUCUGCACUGAUACCUUCUACUCUGCUGGUAACCUUCCCCCCCACUAGUCUGUGCAAUGGUGCUGUCCACUAGUGCCCUCUUUGGCAAUGGUAUUGUCCACUGGUAAUUUUGCAUACCCCAUGUCAGGAUUGCAAUGGUAUUGUCCACUCUACCUUGCCAACACUCUUCACAGAGCCACACAUGGACUGACCCAUUCCAUGGAGGGGGAGGAAAUUGAGCUAAUCCAUUCCAUCGUGGGGGGGGGAGAGCCUCUCCCUGCAUAGAGCAAUGUCCGAUGGACUGAUCCAUAGGGGGUGGGAGCCACCACAUGUGGCUUGAUCCACUCCAUCGAUGGGGGAGUGUGUGGAAUGGGCCGAUCCAUUCCACCAAAAGGAGGGUGAGUGCUCUAGCACAGCUCAAAGACACACGCAGACUGAUCCAUUCCAUGGGGGGGGGGGCGGAAUGGACCCAACCAUUCCCUUGAGGUGGGAGAAUCACCAAGGGCCAAACCAUUUCAUGGAGCAGGGAGAAAUAGACCAAUCCAUUACAGGCUCACAUGUGGACGGAUCCAUUCUGUGCGGCAGUGGGGGGGGGGGAAAUCACAGAUGACCUAUUCCAGGGAGGGAGGAGGAAUGGAUCGAGAUGUGGGGGAGAUGGGAAA
Long non-coding RNA from Chrysemys picta bellii (western painted turtle), 1642 nucleotides. Lineage: Eukaryota; Metazoa; Chordata; Testudines; Emydidae. The record is from Ensembl.